GUCACUGCUAUCGGUGUUCGACUAAGCCAUGCGAGUCAAAUGUUCUUCGUGAACAUGGCGUACUGCUCAGUAACACGUGGAUAACCUGCCCUUAGGUCUGGCAUAACCCCGGGAAACUGGGGAUAAUUCCGGAUAGAUCAUGGAUGCUGGAAUGCACCGUGGUCGAAAGCUUUUGUGCCUAAGGAUGGGUCUGCGGUCUAUCAGGUUGUAGUGGGUGUAACGUACCUACUAGCCUACGACGGAUACGGGUUGUGGGAGCAAGAGCCCGGAGAUGGAUUCUGAGACAUGAAUCCAGGCCCUACGGGGCGCAGCAGGCGCGAAAACUUUACAAUGCGGGAAACCGCGAUAAGGGGACACCGAGUGCCAGCAUCCUAUGUUGGCUGUCCAUAUGUAUAAAUAACAUGUGUUAGCAAGGGCCGGGCAAGACCGGUGCCAGCCGCCGCGGUAACACCGGCGGCCCGAGUGGUGGCCACUAUUAUUGGGUCUAAAGGGUCCGUAGCCGGUUUGGUCAGUCUUCCGGGAAAUCUGACGGCUUAACCGUUAGGCUUUCGGGGGAUACUGCCAGGCUUGGGACCGGGAGAGGUAAGAGGUACUACGGGGGUAGGAGUGAAAUCUUGUAAUCCCUGUGGGACCACCAGUGGCGAAGGCGUCUUACCAGAACGGGUCCGACGGUGAGGGACGAAAGCUGGGGGCACGAACCGGAUUAGAUACCCGGGUAGUCCCAGCCGUAAACUAUGCUCGCUAGGUGUCAGGGACGGUGCGACCGUUUCUGGUGCCGUAGGGAAGCCGUGAAGCGAGCCACCUGGGAAGUACGGUCGCAAGGCUGAAACUUAAAGGAAUUGGCGGGGGAGCACUACAACGGGUGGAGCCUGCGGUUUAAUUGGACUCAACGCCGGAAAACUCACCGGGGGCGACAGCAAUAUGUAGGUCAAGCUAAAGACUUUACCAGAAUCGCUGAGAGGAGGUGCAUGGCCGUCGUCAGUUCGUACUGUGAAGCAUCCUGUUAAGUCAGGCAACGAGCGAGACCC
Molecule: ribosomal RNA, 1028 nt
Filed under: uncultured Methanomethylovorans sp.
Lineage: Archaea; Methanobacteriati; Methanobacteriota; Methanomicrobia; Methanosarcinales; Methanosarcinaceae
Description: bacterial SSU rRNA
Rfam family: Archaeal small subunit ribosomal RNA
Source: RNAcentral